CCCCAGCAAAGCCGAAGGCAGUUCCUGCUUGGCGGCGACGCGAGUCCCGGAACGAGCGCUGGGGCACAGGAAAGGCCAGCAGACAGGAAAACUGAGGCGAUCAGAAAAGAAGGCCCUGUCGACCCAGCCCUCACCCUUGUUCUUCUGCGUCCGAGCAAUCUCCUUUUCGAUCUCCGAGAUCUUCUCCAAGAUCCCCAUGGCUGCGGGAAGGAUCUGCACACCUACGGCGACAGCACCGGUACCGGGAAUUCCGGUCUGACGGCGGCGGCAGCGUGCAGCCGGAAACCCACGGAGAACAGCGUCCUCGGGGACGCCGGUGCUUCGGGAUUCAGAGUCCGGUUUCUGCCUUGCUGUUUGCAGCCGCCAUGAACUGUGGCUCCACCAUGCCACCCUGCCUUGGAGCCAACUGAGUAUGGGCUGAAACCUCCAAAAACUGUAAGAAAUAAACCUUUCCUUUCCCAAC
Molecule: long non-coding RNA, 463 nt
Organism: Cavia porcellus (domestic guinea pig)
Lineage: Eukaryota; Metazoa; Chordata; Mammalia; Rodentia; Caviidae
Exons: 3
Source: RefSeq, a predicted model, not a curated record